Molecule: unclassified non-coding RNA, 283 nt
Filed under: fungal sp.
Lineage: Eukaryota; Fungi
Also listed under: 1 other name
Description: partial internal transcribed spacer region
Rfam family: Eukaryotic small subunit ribosomal RNA (bases 1-46)
Source: RNAcentral
AAGUCGUAACAAGGUUUCCGUAGGUGAACCUGCGGAAGGAUCAUUAACAGAAAAGAGGGGCGAGAGUGCAUCAUUGCUCUCUCUCUCUCAUUCAUCCCUGUGAUAUGUGUAUUUACUAUGUGUGUGUGUGUGUGUGUAUGUGUGUGUGCUUAAAUGUGAGUGCACACGCCGCAUACAUGCUUCUUUUUUUUACUCUGUUUUCAUUCUUAUGUGUGUGUAUACCUUGUACCUUCGUUGUACAAAUCAAAAUCAAAAACUGCCAGCAAUGGAUCACUCGGUUCUC